Molecule: ribosomal RNA, 291 nt
Filed under: uncultured bacterium
Lineage: Bacteria
Description: partial 16S ribosomal RNA
Rfam family: Bacterial small subunit ribosomal RNA
Source: RNAcentral
GUGGAUUAGAUACCCUGGUAGUCCACGCCGUAAACGAUGAGUGCUAAGUGUUAGGGGGUUUCCGCCCCUUAGUGCUGCAGCUAACGCAUUAAGCACUCCGCCUGGGGAGUACGGUCGCAAGACUGAAACUCAAAGGAAUUGACGGGGGCCCGCACAAGCGGUGGAGCAUGUGGUUUAAUUCGAAGCAACGCGAAGAACCUUACCAGGUCUUGACAUCCCAUUGACCACUGUAGAGAUACAGUUUUCCCUUCGGGGACAACGGUGACAGGUGGUGCACGGCCGUCGACAGCU